Molecule: non-coding RNA, 47 nt
Organism: Bacteroides fluxus YIT 12057
Lineage: Bacteria; Pseudomonadati; Bacteroidota; Bacteroidia; Bacteroidales; Bacteroidaceae
Source: Rfam
GUUGUGAUUUGCUUUCAUUUUAGUAUCUUUGAACCAUUGGAAACAGU